CUGAGGCAGUGACGAGGUGGAUAUGAUGUAGCUUGUUGGGAAAACCACAGAAUCUGUGCUCAGCUGAUCCUUUACCAGCCCCAACGCCGCCACGCAUCUCUGCAUCAAUCAACCACCCCAUACCUCCCAGGUUGCUGCCCCUGGGGAACAUCACUGGGUAACUCGCUCAUACCUCCCGCGAAGGGAUUUGUUAGACUCUGGAACACCAAAGAUGAAAGGCACAGGCAGGCCUGCCCUCAAGGAGCUUCAGCCACAGGAGGAAAGGGAACAAAACGUGAGAUUCAAGAGCUGUUCCCAAGUGACGCGCAUCCAUUCACCAAGUUAAUGCUUAAUAAGAACGAUCUACAAAGGGUGACCGAAAGAUGAGGAGAGUGAAGACUGCCUCCAGUGAGCAUGAACGAGCGAAAUAAAUAAAUAGAUGCCAUGCUGAUCCCAAAAGAAGGAAGGUGCAGGAAGGGGAACUUGCACAGCAAUUCUGGGGAGCAGGUGGGGAGAAGGAGGACAAUGUUUACUUGUGGACAUGGGCAUGUUUCUUUUUCUCAGGUGUGACGUGAGAUCCCACCUGGGAUUGGGAUGCUUCUGCCAAACUCAGGUUGAGAUGAGUGUACAGAUGAGUCACACUUGAAAUAUACAGAGAUGAGCUAUAUCUGAAAUGUACAUGGAUGAGCUAUACUUGAAAUGUACAUGGAUUGGCAGCUAUACCUGAAAUGUACACAGAUGAGCUAUACUUGAAAUAUACACAGAGGAGCUAUACCAGAAAUGUACAUAGAUGAGCUGCACUCCUCUGUGAACUGUGCAAGGUGAGCCCUUACAUAAACACGCAUUGAUUCCACAGCCAGGGAGGGAUUAGUUUCCGGGGAAAGGAAAGUUUGGUUAACUCUGAAGGAAGCACAAUGAUCACAAAGCUACAGAAAUGAAAUAACCAGUCCUACUUUUUAACCUGCUUUUGUCUAUAUUGUCUCAUUUAAUGUUUGCAAAAAUCCUGUAGGCACCAGUAUUAGUAUCUCUACAAAACAGAGAAAGAGGUUAAAGGAUUUUCUGAAGGUCAGUCAACAAUUUAGUGGUGUAUUUGGGAUUCAAAGACAGGUCUUUAUUCUUUCCCAGUAUUUACAUGAUAUAUAAAAUGCUAUAUCUCCUUUAUAUUUAACAUAUAUAUAUAUAUUUAUGUAAUUCAAUUCAGCUCAGUUGAUCAGUCACGUCUGACUCUUUGCAACCCCAUGGACUGCAGCAUGCCAGGCUUCCCUGUCCAUCGCCAACUCCCGGAGCUUGCUCAGACUAGGGUCCAUCGAGUUGGUGAUACUGUCCAACCACAUCAUCCUCUGUCGUCCCUUUCUCCUCCUGCCUUCAAUCUUUCCCAGCAUCAGGGUCUUUUCCAAUGAGUCAGUUCUUCACAUCAGGUGGCCAAAGUAUUGACAUUUCAGCUGCAGCAUCAGCAUAAUACAUAUUUUAUAUUGCAAGUUUGGGGAAUUCCCAGGUGGUGCUAGUGGUAAAGAACCUGCUUGCUAAUGCACGAGACAUAGAGACAUGGGUUCGAUCCUUGGAUUGGGAAGAUCCCCUGGAGGAGGUAUGGCAACCCACUCCAGU
Bos grunniens (domestic yak) is the source of this 1584-nucleotide long non-coding RNA. Lineage: Eukaryota; Metazoa; Chordata; Mammalia; Artiodactyla; Bovidae. The record is from Ensembl.